GCCCGGAUGGCGGAACUGGUAGACGCAAGGGACUUAAAAUCCCUCGAAGGUGACUUCGUGCCGGUUCGAUUCCGGCUCCGGGCACCA
Molecule: transfer RNA, 87 nt
Filed under: Pseudomonadota bacterium
Lineage: Bacteria; Pseudomonadati; Pseudomonadota
Also listed under: 3 other names
Description: tRNA-Leu
Rfam family: tRNA
About the family: Transfer RNA (tRNA) molecules are approximately 80 nucleotides in length. Their secondary structure includes four short double-helical elements and three loops (D, anti-codon, and T loops).
Source: RNAcentral